UACGAAGGGGCUAGCGUUGUUCGGAAUUACUGGGCGUAAAGCGCACGUAGGCGGAUAUUUAAGUCCGCCGUCAAAUCCCAGGGCUCAACCCUGGACAGGCGGUGGAACUACCAAGCUGGAGUACGGUAGGGGCAGAGGGAAUUCCGGUGGAGCGGUGAAAUGCGUAGAGAUCGGAAAGAACACCAACGGCGAAAAGCACUCUGCUGGGGGCCCGACACUGAC
Molecule: ribosomal RNA, 222 nt
Filed under: uncultured bacterium
Lineage: Bacteria
Description: partial 16S ribosomal RNA
Rfam family: Bacterial small subunit ribosomal RNA
Source: RNAcentral